RNAcentral lists this unclassified non-coding RNA (2609 nucleotides) under Hevea brasiliensis (rubber tree). The record is from RNAcentral. Lineage: Eukaryota; Viridiplantae; Streptophyta; Magnoliopsida; Malpighiales; Euphorbiaceae.
CUCUCUCUCUCUCUCUCUCACUCUAUUGUUCUAAUGGGAGACCUGCACGACACCAAAGUUCUCAAGCACCCGUUCUCCGAUAGGGUCCCAAUUCGAUCCAUUGUCUGUCGCCCUGACGGUGGUGCCGGCCUCGGUGGCCAGCUUGUACGGAUAGGUGGCUGGGUGAAGACCGGGAGAGAGCAGGGUAAGGGAUCGUUCGCAUUUUUGGAGGUGAACGAUGGCUCAUGUCCGGCCAACCUCCAGGUUAUAGUGGAGAAAGAAGUGGCGGAUCUGAGCUCGCUUGUUCAUACUGGCGCGUGCGUCUCCGUUGAGGGGGUACUCAAGGAACCACCUGAAGGUACCAAGCAGAAGAUUGAGCUCCGAGUAGGAAAAGUGCUCCAUGUUGGACCCGUGGACCCGGCUAAGUACCCAAUUCCCAAAACGAAGCUAACGCUUGAGUUCUUGAGGGAUCAUAUUCAUCUUCGACCCAGAACUAAUACGAUUUCUGCAGUUGCUCGAAUUCGUAAUGCUCUUGCUUUUGCUACCCACUCAUUCUUUCAAGAGCAUGGCUUUCUAUAUAUUCAUACCCCAAUUAUCACAACUAGUGACUGUGAAGGUGCUGGUGAAAUGUUUCAAGUUACAACCUUGAUUAAUGAAGUUGAAAAGAUAGAGAAGGAGCUGAGUGAGAAUCCUCCUCCAUCAGAGGCUGACAUAGAAGCUGCAAAGCUUGUUGUUAAGGAGAAAGGGGGGGCUGUCGCCCAACUGAAAUCUGCUAAAGCAAGUAAGGAGGAUAUAGCUGCUUCAGUGGCUGAACUGACAAAUGCAAAGGAGAAUCUCUUAAAGCUGGAGGAAAGAUCUAAACUUAAGCCUGGCAUUCCUAAAAAAGAUGGGAAGAUCGAUUAUUCUCUAGAUUUCUUUUCCCGUCAAGCAUUUUUGACCGUCUCUGGCCAAUUACAAGUUGAAACAUAUGCCUGUACCGUUAGCAAUGUCUACACAUUUGGACCAACUUUUCGGGCUGAGAACUCACACACAUCCAGGCAUUUGGCAGAAUUCUGGAUGGUGGAGCCUGAAAUAGCAUUUGCAGAUCUUGAGGAUGACAUGAACUGUGCGGAGGCAUAUGUGAAAUAUAUGUGUCAGUGGUUACUUGAUAAGUGUCUUGAUGAUAUGGAACUGAUGGCUAAACUUUAUGAUAAAGGUUGCAUUGAUCGACUAAGAAUGGUUGCAUCUACCCCUUUCAAGCGCAUUUCAUACACAGAAGCAGUGAAACUACUAGAGGAGGCUGUGCAAGGUGGUAAGAAGUUUGAAAACAAGGUGGAGUGGGGGAUAGAUCUGGCAUCUGAGCAUGAGAGAUACUUGACAGAGGUAUUAUUUCAGAAGCCUGUGAUUGUGUACAAUUACCCAAAAGGGAUCAAGGCGUUUUACAUGAGGCUCAAUGAUGAUUCAAAGACUGUAGCUGCCAUGGAUGUCCUUGUUCCAAAGGUAUUCAUUAUUUAAAACAUCUCUAACUUGGUGCAUUAUCAAUUAUGUUUGACUUUGGAGUUUCUAUUUUUCUACCUUCUUGCAAUGGAUGUCCUUGUACCAAAGGUAUCCAUUAUUUAAUACAUCUCUAACUUGCUGCAUCAUCAAUUAUGUUUGACUUUGUAGUUUCUAUUUUUCUACAUUCUUCUUGCACAUAUUUAACAUUCGAAAUAUAUUUCAGGUGGGUGAGUUGAUCGGUGGAAGCCAGAGAGAGGAACGCUUGGAGGUUAUUCAGCAAAGGUAUGAGAUAUGGUUGAAUGGUUCUCAAUAUUUCAUGCAAAAGUGCCUGUACUGUCUCUUUAUUUUGUUGUUAUAAAUUGUAAUUCUAUGGUAAUGGGUGCAUUUUUAUUGGGAAUGCUCACCAUCAUUGCAGAAUUGUUGGUAUGGGGCUGCCUCUUGAACCAUAUGAGUGGUACCUUGAUCUGCGGCGCUAUGGAACUGUAAAGCAUAGUGGAUUUGGCUUAGGCUUUGAACGGAUGAUACUAUUUGCCACUGGCAUUGACAAUAUUAGAGAUGUCAUUCCCUUCCCCAGAUAUCCAGGGAGAGCAGAUCUGUGAUAUUUAGUUUACUAAUUACAUGUUUGAUGUUAGUAUUUUGGCUUUAGAAUUCAAUACAGAUUAUUCUAUCUGAAUUUCCUCUCAAAUGUAUUUGGCUACUUCGAUUCUGAACAUUAUUGAAAAAUUAUUGUUAUUAUUAUUUUUCAUUUUAUUUUAUUUGGGAGAAGGAUUUACAAUAUUGAUGUGGACUGUCUAAUGGCACUGAAUGACGAAAAAAGAUCUAUAUAGUUGAUUUCAACUAAUUUAAGAUUAAGGCUUAUUAGUAGUUAUUUGAGAAAGGAAAUUCAGGAUUCUAUCUGUUUACACUAUUAAUCUAUUGACCAGAUCCAUUCUGCAGAUACUGUGAUGCAAACUGGAGAUUGAGCUGAAGGUUUCUGUUUCUCUGCCGGAUGGUUUAUAUAUAUUUUUUUAAUGGAUUGUAAGAUGUAACAUCAAUAUUUUUGAGAAAUGGUUUUAUCUGAAAAGAAGCUUCUUGUGUCUGCUGUUUUCAGUAGAAUUUCAAUAAAAUCCUAGUGGCUGAAAAGCAUUCUAAUUCAGUCAAUUGUUACACCAUGG